AUUGAACGCUGGCGGCAGGCCUAACACAUGCAAGUCGAACGAGUGGCGGACGGGUGAGUAAUGUCUGGGAAACUGCCUGAUGGAGGGGGAUAACUACUGGAAACGGUAGCUUAUACCGCAUACCCUCAGAUGUGCCCAGAUGGGAUGGGCUUGUUGGUGGGGUAAGGGCUCACCAAGGCGACGAUCCCUAGCUGGUCUGAGAGGAUGAACAGCCAAACUGUAACUGAGACACGGUCCAGACGCCGACGGGAGGAAGCAGUGGGGAAUAUUGAACAGUGGGCGCAAGCCUGAUGCAGCCAUGCCGCGUGUAUGAAGAAGGCCUUCGGGUUGUAAAGUACUUUCAGCGGGGAGGCGUUACCCGCAGAAGAAGCACCGGCUAACUCCGUGCCAGCCGCCGCGGUAAUAC
RNAcentral lists this ribosomal RNA (406 nucleotides) under uncultured bacterium. Its description in RNAcentral is "partial 16S ribosomal RNA". It matches the Rfam family "Bacterial small subunit ribosomal RNA", at positions 30 to 526 of the family's 1533-position model. The record is from RNAcentral.